UUGGUCAUUCAGAAGGUGGGCAAUUCAGCUUAUAAACUGCAGCUACCCAGCAAUGUGCAAAUACACCCAGUAUUCCAUGUUAGUCAGUUGAAGAAGCAUAUUGGGGAUAAAUCCAUUCCGGAUCCCAACCUACCACUGGUUAAUGCAGAUGGAUCGAUCAAGACAGGACCAGAAGAGGUGUUGGAAGUUCGCCAAGUACCUAGACACAAUGUUCCUGUGGUGCAGUGGCUCAUCAGAUGGAUAAAUCUGUCACCAGAAGAUGCUACGUGGGAAGAUGCAGAUUUUAUCAAGUAUACAUUUCCGGAAUUCUUCAAGGCAACUACUAGUGCGUGGCGGGAUGCAUCAACAACAGCGCCGUGA
RNAcentral lists this ribosomal RNA (360 nucleotides) under Triticum aestivum (bread wheat). RNAcentral's name for it is "partial small subunit ribosomal RNA". Lineage: Eukaryota; Viridiplantae; Streptophyta; Magnoliopsida; Poales; Poaceae. The record is from RNAcentral.